GCAGACCAGACGAUCGCGUGGCGGCACGUCCGUCAUGAGGAAAGUCCGGGCUCCGCAGGGCAGGGAUGCCGGAUAACGUCCGGCGCAGGCAACUGUAGGGAAAGUGCAGCAGAAACAUACCGCCGAAACAGUCAGGCUGUGGCAAGGUUGAAAUGGUGAGGCAAGAGCUCACCGGCGGCGCGGAGACGCGUCGGCCGUGUAAACCCCAUCCGGAGCAAGGUCGAAUCGGGCAGGAAAGGCAGCGGCCCGCUGCCGCCCGGGAGGUGGACCGCAUGAGCGGCGCAGCAAUGUGCCGCCUAGAUAGAUGACCGUCUAAUACAGAACCCGGCUUACAGAUCUGCCC
Molecule: RNase P RNA, 343 nt
Filed under: uncultured Eubacterium sp.
Lineage: Bacteria; Bacillati; Bacillota; Clostridia; Eubacteriales; Eubacteriaceae
Description: Bacterial RNase P class A
Rfam family: Bacterial RNase P class A
About the family: Ribonuclease P (RNase P) is a ubiquitous endoribonuclease, found in archaea, bacteria and eukarya as well as chloroplasts and mitochondria.
Source: RNAcentral